GCGUUUACUAUAAGGACCUGGUUGUGGGAGUUACCAAAGAGAUGCAGAGGUGAGAAGUGGGUUGCAGACUCUCUUACGGGUGUCCAGUCCUUAAUACAACAAGAAAUAAAAGUGUACAAAUCAGUAGUGCUGGCAUCUAAUUCUUUGGGCAGGGAUUUUACUGGUCAGAUAACGGCAGCAGGACAAGUUUCUCCUGUGAAGAUGCUGAUAAUUGGUGGUGGCGUUGCUGGACUGGCUGCAGCAGGAGCUGCCAAAGCAAUGGGAGUUGCUGUCAGGGGAUUUGAUACCAGAUAAAGUAAGAAAAUAUGGCUUAGAAUCUAGAACACUGCUUAACACUUUAUAAAAUAUUCUGGUCAAAGUUCUG
Long non-coding RNA from Chroicocephalus ridibundus (black-headed gull), 364 nucleotides. RefSeq lists it as uncharacterized. The record is from RefSeq and is a predicted model, not a curated record. The transcript has 3 exons. Lineage: Eukaryota; Metazoa; Chordata; Aves; Charadriiformes; Laridae.